Molecule: ribosomal RNA, 750 nt
Filed under: uncultured marine bacterium
Lineage: Bacteria
Description: bacterial SSU rRNA
Rfam family: Bacterial small subunit ribosomal RNA
Source: RNAcentral
AGUCGAACGAGGAAGCUCCUUCGGGAGUGAUUAGAGUGGCGCACGGGUGAGUAAUGGAUAGGAACAUACCUAUAGGAGGGGGAUAACCAUGGGAAACUGUGGCUAAUACCGCAUAAUAUCGCAAGAUCAAAGGAAGCCUCUGCUUGCAUGCUUUCACCUAUAGAUUGGCCUAUUUCCCAUUAGCUUGUUGGUGAGGUAAUGGCUCACCAAGGCAUCGAUGGGUAGCUGGUCUGAGAGGAUGAUCAGCCACACUGGAACUGAGACACGGUCCAGACUCCUACGGGAGGCAGCAGUGGGGAAUCUUGCACAAUGGGCGAAAGCCUGAUGCAGCAACGCCGCGUGAGUGAAGAAGGCUCUUGGGUUGUAAAGCUCUUUCGGUUAGAAAGAAGGGUUAGUAGGUUAAUACCCUGUUAAUCUGACGGUACUAGCAUAAGAAGCACUGGCUAAUUCCGUGCCAGCAGCCGCGGUAAUACGGAAGGUGCAGGCGUUGCUCGGAAUGACUGGGCGUAAAGAGCGCGUAGGCUGGUUUAUAUGUCGAUUGUGAAAGCCCCAGGCUUAACCUGGGAAUUGCAGUCGAAACUGUAGAUCUUGAAUGCCCGAGAGGUUGGCGGAAUUCCAGGUGUAGGAGUGAAAUCCGUAGAUAUCUGGAGGAACACCGGAGGCGAAGGCGGCUAACUGGUGGUGCAUUGACGCUGAGGCGCGAAAGCGUGGGGGAGCAAACAGGAUUAGAUACCCUGGUAGUCCACGCCG